RNAcentral lists this long non-coding RNA (6327 nucleotides) under Sus scrofa (pig). RNAcentral's name for it is "lncRNA (ENSSSCG00000057065.1)". Lineage: Eukaryota; Metazoa; Chordata; Mammalia; Artiodactyla; Suidae. The record is from RNAcentral.
CAUAUGGAGGUUCCCAGACUAGGGGUUGAAUCUGAGCUGCAGCUGCCAGCCUACACCACAGCCACAGCAAUGCGGGAUCCAAGCCGCAUCUGUGACCUACACCACAGUUCACAGCAAUGCCAGAUCCAUAACCCACUGAUCGAGGCCAGGGAUGGAACCCGCUUCCUCACGGAUAUUAGUGGGAUUCGUUUCCACUGUGCCACAACAGGAACACUUAACUUUAACCAUUUAACCAGCAAGCUAUUUCUUUUGUUGGUUCUUGUGGGCAUAUAAAUAAGCCUUUUUUUCUGUUCAUCUUUUCUCAAUUUAAUUCACAGGCUCCAGUCACUGCACCUAACAGGGGAAAGGGAAACGUUUAUCUUGCCCCCAAAAGUAUCACAUCAGGGCAAAACAUUCUGGAAUUCCUGGACUGUGUUGAUUUGGAAAUGGGCAGGGGGAUGGAAUUGGAAGGACAUCCGGGACGUACUAUCAUGACAGAUUCAGACCCACCUAUAAAACUGGGGGCAGUCCCAUUCUCAGAGACAAAUUUGAGAAGAGCCCAGGAUCCUGUUCUCCUGGUAAUGCAGCUGUUCACCCCUCCUUUUUAAUUCCUUUCCUUUUUCCUUGGUAGAUGAUACUGAUCCAAAAGUUGGACACUAAAACGUUCAAAAUUUGAACUCUGCACGUGUUUUCCCCUUAGGUACUUAUUCUCCAGAUGUGUGUGCUGCAGCAUGAAUACCCUAUGCUCAAUUUCAAAAUAAAAGUAAUUUCACCCUUUUCCCCUCUCCUUCCCACACAGAGAUUUUUCUGGUAUUUAAAGUGCAGCUAACAACUUUUCCCUCUCUUGGAAUUUUCAGUGGCAUCUGCAUGAAAAUUAAGAAAUACUUUGGGAAAGUAAUUUAAUUUUGCAAAUGCAAAGCUAAUCUCCGCUCAUCAUCAAGGCAAUAAAACAUAAGAGAUGUCUAUAUGGGGAAAUCUCAAUUUUAAAAACCUUACAGAAGUGAAUUACAAUGAAGUAAACAAUUUUAGGAGACUUGAAGGAGCAGCCCAACCACGGGUUCAUCCAGCCUGGAAUUCCGAGGCCCCGGUCCAGCUCACCAGGCUACUGGCGGGACGGUGGCAACUUUUUCUGCUUUGUUCCCCUUCCAAGAUUUCUGGCUUCUGGCGGAAGACAGAAAGCUUCACGUUGAGAAAAAUCAAACCGGAACAAGAGAGAACACUUAUGUGUGGCGUUUACACACUUUCAUCCUUCAGAAGAUGGUUCCAUUCCCAACCUUUUUUAAAGAACUCCGCACCAUCUGGCUUUCACAAGCAGAGCUUCAUCCACUCCCACUUGCUUCAAUGAGGAAAAACCCUGCUCUCCCAGGGUUUAGCAAACGGACUGACUUUGGAGUGCAGAUAGAGCUGAAGCAGAUUUUCUGCAUUAUUUGGCAACGUUUCUUUGCAAAAUUAAUUUCACAGAUGCAUAGUCCCCUAUGUGGACUGUAAGUAUUUGGGAAGAAUUUUUUUUUCUCUUUUCUAUCCUAGUACUAAGAAUCUCAACAGCACCCUAGUAUUAACAGGUUAAGACUCAGUAGUCAAACAAGAAAAAUGAUGAGCCUUAGUGGUGCUUAUCAGACCCAUUAGGUUGAUUUUUAUCUACUAAGAAUCACUUCCCUGGAGUUCCCAUUGUGGCACAGGGGUAAGGAACCCGAUUAGCAGCCAUGAGGACUCGGGCUGGAUCCCCAUCCCUGGCCUUGCUCAGUGGGUUAAGGAUCCAGUGUUGUUGUGGGCUGCAGCUGUGAGCUAUGGUGUAGUUCUCAGAUGCAGCUCGCACUUGGCGGUUGCUGUGGCUGUGGCGUAGGCCAGCAGCUGUAGCUCCAAUUCAGCCUCUAGCCUGGGAGCUUCCAUGUACCACAUGUGCAGCCCUAAAAAGCAAAAAAAAAAAAAGAAUCUCUUCACAGAUUCACUGACAAUCUCACUAUUGCAAUAGCUUUUUAAACUAUUUCUUUUUAUUCAAUAAAUAAAUGGUGCAAGAGACAUUUUUAAUGAGUUAGCUUUAGAGCUAAGGGGUGAAAAGCAUAUUCUUAUACUUCUGGCACUUUAUUUUCAUUAAUAAUCAGUUGAAAUGAUACUUUGAAAAAAGACUCUUGUCUCCUCUUCAGGGUGUCCAUGGUGGUUCAAAACCAUACUCAACAUGCAACCCUCCCAAUAAUACUUUUCUAACCCUGUCGUGAAUGGGAGAUUAAACUUGCCAUCUGCCUCUGCCAGGACUGCAUCAUGAGCCACUGAAGCUGCCAACCUGCCACACCCCUGAAGGGAGGCACUCUGUGCUCUGGGAAAACUGGCAGAACAGGUCUUCUGAUAGUUAGAUAUUUUCAGGAGAAGUUUUUAUGAGCCCAAUUCUUGCAUCUCCUUGUAUCUAGGAAAGUACUAAAAUCCUUCAUGGUGAUGUCUUCUCAUGACCAGCAGGAACCUUCACGAGACCAGCAGCGACCUUCUGCAAAAUGUGUGCUUGAUUGGAACCUUCACAAGAUCAGCAGCGACCUUCUGCAAAAUGUGUGCUUGAUUGCAUGUGCCUCCCUGGCUUCAGCAAAAUCACAUCUACACUGACCUGCCCCCUACUCUCUGGAGCAUUUUUUUCUGAAAUGUUGCCUCCCGCGCUAGAGUCCUCAUUUUGCCCCAAAUAAAACGUCACUCUCAACUUAGGUUGUGCAUAUUUUGAAGUCGACACUGGAAACCUUAGGCUCUCCUUCAUUCUCCUUUCUAUUCAAUCUACAUUUUAAAAACUAACUAAACGGUCAAGACGUAUAUAGUUUUUUAAAGUUAGAUUAUUUUCAGUGAACUGAUUCCUGGGCCGUGCCUCAUGGAUCAGGAUUCUGUUUAAAUACUGAGCCCUGUGGCCUCAAAUUAAACAAAUUCCUGUCUUCUUCCAGUUUUAUGUCUUCUUUCUACUUGGACUUUCUUCUUCCUAUUUGCACUAUGCCCACCACAUCCCUUCUCUCCCUGACGCCAACAUCUUCAUGUUGUUCAAAGUCUUGUUUAAUCACCUAUAAUUCUCUCAAAGCCUAGAUUUUCAAAAACAAAUGGUAAUCAUUUUCUUCUUUCCUGACAUCCAAAACUAACGUUACCCCCAAAGUAAUUAUAGACCUGGGUCAUACAACUUGACAUUAUUUUUGAAAUUGAUUUCAGGAUUGAUGCUGUCCUCAAAGCCCAUGAUGUUAACUAUUUUAGAAUGUAGCUUAAUUCUCUUAUAUCUUUUAUAAACUCAAAAAUGUAUGAUAUACUCAGUACAAUAAACCAGUGAUGGUGUUAUUAUGUCUUCCCACCAGCCAACCCUUUUUAGGACGACAUGUCAGGUUUCUCCCCACCCAUAUCAUGCAAUAAGAGAUGUCAUUUUAAGUGUCAUAUACAUAAGAGCAAUGUUAUAUCCUUAAAAAAGGCAAAAACUGAAAGUUUAUAGAAAGAAACAAACAAACCUAUAAUGUUAUGAGAUUCUAAUAUAGUUCUUUCAGAAGCUUUUGAGAUAUAAAGAUAAAAAUAAGAACAAUAGCAUUUGGAUAAUAUCAUUUAAAAUGUGGGACUUUGGGAGUUCCCGUCAUGGCGCAGUGGUUCCGACUAGGAACCAUGAGUUGUGGGUUUGAUCCCAGACCUUGCUCAGUGGGUUAAGGAUCCGGCGUUGCUGUGAGCUGUGGUGUAGUUUGCAGACACGGCUCAGACCCGUGUUGCUGUGGCUGUGGCGUAGGCUGGUGACUACAGCUCCAAUUAGACCCCUAGGCUGGGAACCUCCACAUGCUGUGGGAGGCGGCCCUAGAAAAAGGCAAAAAGACAAAAAAAAAAAGAAAAAAAACAAAAAAAUAAAAAUAAAAUGUUAAAAAUGACCAUGUAGAGAUCACACAAGGAUUUCCAACAAUUUUAAAGAACUGACUUUAUAAAGACCAUAUUAUUGGAUCGGACUGCAAUACAAUUUGAAAUCAAUGGUAAAACAUGGCUUAAACAUCCCAGGUGUUCUGGGAAAUGAAAAAGCACUUCUUUUUCACCUGCCAGUAAAUUUGAAAAUAUAGGUAAAACGGGUAAUAUUCUUGAUGAAAAAAUGAACGUUCAUAAUUGACCCAAGAAGUGGAAAACUUGACUGGAUCAUGAAAAAUCGAAACAGUGUUAAGUAUUUUCCCAAAAGUCACCUUAGUGAAGCACAUAGUCUUAAAGAUGAGUUUCAUCAAACUUUCAAGAUCCACAGAGGAUAGAGUAUCUCUCCUGAUUAUUUUUUAAUAGUAUAGUUGCCUCCAGAGUCAGCAGUUUACACUUGGGCCUAGAGUUAGAAGAGAUGAAGAUACAUUUUGAGAUUCUAUUUCCUUAAAGAGAGAGAAGCCAGUUUAUGUAAUUUUAGGAGUGAUGCAAGCCACUGAAUAGAGCCAUCAACCAACAUGCACAACUUUUCAAAUGGAAAUAUUAUAUUUCACUGGAGAUAACAUCACACUAUUGGAGUUUGGUUCUUUUCCUGCGACAGAGCCAAGAUAUUAUAAGUAAUGGAAGAAAUCAUCUGAACACCACCAGCAAAAGUAAAUGAAAAAGAGUAAUUUAAAAAAAAAAAAGUAGUAAAAUUAAUUUCAAAAUAUUGAGAAAAUAACCAGCAUUGUGUAAAAUAUUUAUGAAGUACAUUCUGAAACUUUAUUAAAAGACAUAAAAGAUACCUUAAUAAAUGCAAAGAUAUUCCAUGUUUAUGUGCGGAAAGACUCUACACUAUAAAGAUAACGCGUGGGUUAAUUUAGAGAAUCCAGUUAAUCUAAAAUUGAAUGCAUUUCCUAACAAAAUCCAAUUGCCUUUUUUGGAAAACUUGACAUACUGCUAGUAUACAUUACACUGAAGAAUGAUUAUACCAGUAAAGGUCUGAAAAUAGCUCAAAAAUAUCAAAAUCAAACAAAGGGAACUUGAAAUGUCAUAGUAAUUAAAAGAGUGUACAUUUGGCACCAGAACAAAAAACAAUAGAUUAAGGAAACUGAAUGGAGGCCUUAAUUUACUACAACUUACUCUAUGACAAAUAGUACAGAGAAAGGAGUUCAUCAUUUAGGGGGAAAAUUAAAUCCUUCCUCAUACAAUAUGUAAAAAUUAUUUCAGGUAGAUGAACUCUAUUCGUGUUAAAAGUGAAACACUGCAAGAUCAGAAGAAACUACAGGAUAAAAAAUUUAUGAUGUUAUUAGAGUAAGAGCAGACUUCUUAAACAAGUCUGAAGGAGAAAAAAAAUGAAGUACACAAGAAAAGAUUCAUAGAUUUGGCUAUGUUAAAAUUAGCAGUAUUUUACAGGAGUUCCUACUGUGGCAUAGUGAGUUAAGAAUCUGCCUGCAAUGGCUCAGGUCACUACAGAUGUGUGGGUUUGAUCCCCAGCCUGGCGCAGUAGGUCAAAGGAUCUGGCAUUGCUGCAGCUAUUGGUGUAGGUCACGGCUGCAGCUCAGAUUCAGUCCCUGGCCUGGGAACUUCCAUAUGCCAUAGGUACAGCCAUUAAAAAAAAUUAGCAGUAUUUUACAAAGACAAAUGCCAUAGACACAAUCAAAUUAAAGUAGGGGACCCCGAGAAGACAUCCAUAAAGUGCACAACUAAUAAGGAUUAGACUAUAUAAAAAUGUCCUAAACAUCGACAACAAGAACAAGAUACAGGAGGAUGGGCAGAGAAUGUGAAUGCACUCUGCACAGAAGAAAAAAAAAAAAUGACAAACACAGCAAGAGGUGUAAAAACUUCAGCAGUAAUCGGUGGAAAAAAUACUGAAAUACCACACUUCCUACAACAUAGUUUUAAACAACACUUAGUAUUACUGAGGCUUUGGGAAACAAACGUCCUUGCACACUAUUCUCUGGGAGAUAAACUGAUAAGAUGCUCUUCAAAGCAUGGGGGCAGCAGUUGACAAAACUGAAAAUACUUGUAUUUAUACAACUAUGUUCUUCUCAUCCUUAUUUCUAGUAGCUGGAAGCUGUAGACCAACUGUGUCCCUGCAAGUGGGGUGGAAAAUGGAAUUGGCCAUAAUCAUAAAUCAAAAUACCAUAGAGCAGUAAAAACAAUAAAAUAAACCUACAUUUAUUAAUAGAGACAGAUCUCAGACAUACAAUCUUGAGCUAAGUAAGCAAGAUUUAGAAUAAGACCUACACUACGGUAUAAUUUAUGUAUAUUUUUAAAGCAUCACAACAUAUUAUAUACAUAUUAGAAGGAUUAUAGACCAUGAAUUGGGUGCAUGAGGUGGGGAGGAGAAGAGUGGAACUGGCAAGAAGAGGAAAAAUGGCAAAAGUAGAAUGAGAAGAAAAAGACUUAGACUAAUAAUGAUACUGUUCAUCUCAUUGAGAAACAUGGUGCAUUGAGUCAAGGCAAUUGUGUGAUAUCCUG